This 549-nucleotide ribosomal RNA is filed under the name Vachellia tortilis subsp. raddiana. Its description in RNAcentral is "SSU rRNA". It matches the Rfam family "Eukaryotic small subunit ribosomal RNA", at positions 548 to 1098 of the family's 1831-position model. The record is from RNAcentral. Lineage: Eukaryota; Viridiplantae; Streptophyta; Magnoliopsida; Fabales; Fabaceae.
UUGGAGGGCAAGUCUGGUGCCAGCAGCCGCGGUAAUUCCAGCUCCAAUAGCGUAUAUUAAAGUUGUUGCAGUUAAAAAGCUCGUAGUUGAAUUUCGGGACUAUCAUGUCGGUCGUGCCUCGGUACGUACUGGCAUUGUUGGUUUCUACCUUCUGACGAACCAUGAUGUCAUUUAUUUGGUGUCGUGGGGAAUCAGGACUGUUACUUUGAAAAAAUUAGAGUGUUUAAAGCAGGCCUAUGCUCGAAUACAUUAGCAUGGAAUAAUAGAGCAGGACGUGUGGUUCUAUUUUGUUGGUUUCUAGGACCGCCGUAAUGAUUAAUAGGGAUAGUCGGGGGCAUCAGUAUUCAAUUGUCAGAGGUGAAAUUCUUGGAUUUAUUGAAGACUAACUACUGCGAAAGCAUUUGCCAAGGAUGUUUUCAUUAAUCAGUGAACGAAAGUUAGGGGAUCGAAGACGAUCAGAUACCGUCGUAGUCUUAACCAUAAACUAUGCCGACUAGGGAUCGGAUGAUGUUAAUUUUUUAACGACUCAUUCGGCGCCUUACGGGAAAC